UACAGAGACUGCAAGCGUUAUUCGGAUUCACUGGGCGUAAAGGGUGCGCAGGUGGCCAAGUGUGUUAGGCGUGAAAGCCCGGGGCUUAACCCCGGAAUUGCACCUAAAACUACUUGGCUAGAGCAUUGGAGAGGGGAGCAGAAUUCACGGUGUAGCAGUGAAAUGCGUAGAUAUCGUGAGGAAUACCAGAGGCGAAGGCGGCUCCCUGGACAAUUGCUGACACUCAGGCACGAAAGCGUGGGGAGCAAAAGGGAUUAGAUACCCCUGUAGUCCACGCCCUAAACGGUGCACACUAGGUCUUGGCGGAUUCGACCCCACCAGGGCCCAAGCUAACGCGUUAAGUGUGCCGCCUGAGGACUACGGCCGCAAGGCUAAA
This 376-nucleotide ribosomal RNA is filed under the name uncultured bacterium. Its description in RNAcentral is "bacterial SSU rRNA". It matches the Rfam family "Bacterial small subunit ribosomal RNA", at positions 524 to 898 of the family's 1533-position model. The record is from RNAcentral.